GGAAGAGCAAGAAAGUGAACAUAUACAAGCCAGAAGGGGGUCCUCACCCAACCUGACCUUUUUGGACAUCCAGCCUCCAGAACCAUGAAGAAGAGAUUUCCAUAGUUUAAGCCACCCAAAUCUCAGAUCUGCAAAUUUUGACCCAGAAGAAACAGAUGGACUUGAUAGAAAUGAUGACUGUUACACAAAGUACAAGCCAGGAUCAAUAAAAUUUGAUACA
RNAcentral lists this long non-coding RNA (220 nucleotides) under Mustela putorius furo (domestic ferret). Its description in RNAcentral is "lncRNA (ENSMPUG00000031319.1)". Lineage: Eukaryota; Metazoa; Chordata; Mammalia; Carnivora; Mustelidae. The record is from RNAcentral.